This 493-nucleotide ribosomal RNA is filed under the name uncultured bacterium. RNAcentral describes it as "partial 16S ribosomal RNA". It matches the Rfam family "Bacterial small subunit ribosomal RNA", at positions 29 to 507 of the family's 1533-position model. The record is from RNAcentral.
ACGAACGCUGGCGGCGUGCUUAACACCUGCAAGUCGAACGGUGAAGCGCCUUCCUUUUUGGUGGGUGUGGAUGAGUGGCGAACGGGUGAGUAACACGUGAGUAACCUGCCCCCUUCUUCUGGAUAACCGCAUGAAAGUGUGGCUAAUACGGGAUAUUCUGGGUCUGUCGCAUGAUGGGUCUGGGAAAGAUAUUGUUUCGGUGGGGGAUGGGCUCGCGGCCUAUCAGCUUGUUGGUGGGGUGAUGGCCUACCAAGGCGGUGACGGGUAGCCGGCCUGAGAGGGUGGACGGUCACACUGGGACUGAGACACGGCCCAGACUCCUACGGGAGGCAGCAGUGGGGAAUAUUGCACAAUGGGCGCAAGCCUGAUGCAGCGACGCCGCGGGAGGGAUGGAGGCCUUCGGGUUGUGAACCUCUUUCGCCAGUGAAGCAGGCCUGCCUCGUUUGUGGGUGGGUUGACGGUAGCUGGAUAAGAAGCGCCGGCUAACUACGUG